Molecule: ribosomal RNA, 429 nt
Filed under: Chloroflexota bacterium
Lineage: Bacteria; Bacillati; Chloroflexota
Description: Chloroflexi bacterium partial 16S ribosomal RNA
Rfam family: Bacterial small subunit ribosomal RNA
Source: RNAcentral
UGGGGAAUAUUGCACAAUGGGCGCAAGCCUGAUGCAGCCAUGCCUCGUGUAUGAAGAAGGCCUUCGGGUUGUAAAGUACUUUCAGCGGGGAGGAAGGGAGUAAAGUUAAUACCUUUGCUCAUUGACGUUACCCGCAGAAGAAGCACCGGCUAACUCCGUGCCAGCAGCCGCGGUAAUACGGAGGGUGCAAGCGUUAAUCGGAAUUACUGGGCGUAAAGCGCACGCAGGCGGUUUGUUAAGUCAGAUGUGAAAUCCCCGGGCUCAACCUGGGAACUGCAUCCGAUACUGGCAAGCUUGAGUCUCGUAGAGGGGGGUAGAAUUCCAGGUGUAGCGGUGAAAUGCGUAGAGAUCUGGAGGAAUACCGGUGGCGAAGGCGGCCCCCUGGACGAAGACUGACGCUCAGGUGCGAAAGCGUGGGGAGCAAACAGG